AGAGUUUGAUCCUGGCUCAGGAUGAGCGCUGGCGGUAUGCUUAACACAUGCAAGUCGAACGGGCUUAUGGGUAACUAUAAGUUAGUGGCGGACGGGUGCGUAACGCGUAAGAACCUACCUUUUGGAGGGGGAUAACAUCGGGAAACUGUUGCUAAUACCCCAUAAUGCUGAGGAGUUAAAGCAGCGAAAGCUGGCCAAAAGCGGGGCUUGCGUCUGAUUAGCUAGUUGGUGGGGGUAAAAGCCUCCCAAGGCCACGAUCAGUAGCUGGUCUGAGAGGAUGAUCAGCCACACUGGGACUGAGACACGGCCCAGACUCCUACGGGAGGCAGCAGUGAGGAAUUUUCCGCAAUGGGCGAAAGCCUGACGGAGCAAUACCGCGUGAGGGAAGAAGGACUGUGGUUCGUAAACCUCUUUUCUUAGAGAAGAAACAAUGACGGUAUCUGAGGAAUAAGGACCGGCUAACUCUGUGCCAGCAGCCGCGGUAAUACAGAGGGUCCAAGCGCUAUCCGGAAUUAUUGGGCGUAAAGCGUCUGUAGGUGGUUUAAAAAGUCUACUGUCAAAUACCAAGGCUCAACCUUGGACAGGCAGUAGAGUACCUUUAAACUUGAGUGCGGUAGAGGUAGAGGGAAUCCCUAGCGUAACAGUGAAAUGUGUAGAUUUUAGGGAGAACACCAGCGGCGAAGGCGCUCUACUGGGCCGAGACUGACACUGAGAGACGAAAGCUAAGGGAGCGAAUAGGAUUAGAUACCCUAGUAGUCUUAGCUGUAAACGAUGGAAACUAAGUGCUGCCGAAUGCAGUGCUGUAGCUAACGCGUUAAGUUUCCCGCCUGGGGAGUAUGCUCGCAAGAGUGAAACUCAAAGGAAUUGACGGGGGCCCGCACAAGCAGUGGAUUAUGUGGUUUAAUUCGAUACAACGCGAAGAACCUUACCAGGGUUUGACAUGCCUAGAAUUUCCCAGAGAUGGGGAAGUGCCAGAAAUGGAGCUAGGGCACAGGUGGUGCAUGGCUGUCGUCAGCUCGUGCGUUGACGUGUAUGGUUAAGUCCUGCAACGAGCGCAACCCUCGUCUUUAGUUAAAGCAUUCAAUUUAUUUUGGAUCAACUCUAAAGAGACUGCCAGUGCAAACUGGAGGAAGGUGAGGAUGACGUCAAGUCAGCAUGCCCCUUACACCCUGGGCGACACACGUAAUACAAUGGUUGGGACAAUCAGAAGCGAUCCUGCGAAGGCUAGCGAAUCUGUUAAACUCAACCUCAGUUCGGAUUGCAGGCUGCAACUCGCCUGCAUGAAGUCGGAAUUGCUAGUAAUCGCCAAUCAGCCAUGUGGCGGUGAAUACGUUCCCGGGCCUUGUACACACCGCCCGUCACAUCAAGAAAGGAGAUUUCUCCCAAAGCCGGUAGUCUAACCAGGGCAACUUGGAAGGCGCUGUCAAAGGAGGGGUGUCUGAUCAUGAUGAAGUCGUAACAAGG
Molecule: ribosomal RNA, 1464 nt
Filed under: metagenome
Description: bacterial SSU rRNA
Rfam family: Bacterial small subunit ribosomal RNA
Source: RNAcentral